Molecule: ribosomal RNA, 1530 nt
Filed under: Escherichia coli OK1357
Lineage: Bacteria; Pseudomonadati; Pseudomonadota; Gammaproteobacteria; Enterobacterales; Enterobacteriaceae
Description: bacterial SSU rRNA
Rfam family: Bacterial small subunit ribosomal RNA
Source: RNAcentral
AGAGUUUGAUCAUGGCUCAGAUUGAACGCUGGCGGCAGGCCUAACACAUGCAAGUCGAACGGUAACAGGAAGCAGCUUGCUGCUUUGCUGACGAGUGGCGGACGGGUGAGUAAUGUCUGGGAAACUGCCUGAUGGAGGGGGAUAACUACUGGAAACGGUAGCUAAUACCGCAUAACGUCGCAAGACCAAAGAGGGGGACCUUCGGGCCUCUUGCCAUCGGAUGUGCCCAGAUGGGAUUAGCUUGUUGGUGGGGUAACGGCUCACCAAGGCGACGAUCCCUAGCUGGUCUGAGAGGAUGACCAGCCACACUGGAACUGAGACACGGUCCAGACUCCUACGGGAGGCAGCAGUGGGGAAUAUUGCACAAUGGGCGCAAGCCUGAUGCAGCCAUGCCGCGUGUAUGAAGAAGGCCUUCGGGUUGUAAAGUACUUUCAGCGGGGAGGAAGGGAGUAAAGUUAAUACCUUUGCUCAUUGACGUUACCCGCAGAAGAAGCACCGGCUAACUCCGUGCCAGCAGCCGCGGUAAUACGGAGGGUGCAAGCGUUAAUCGGAAUUACUGGGCGUAAAGCGCACGCAGGCGGUUUGUUAAGUCAGAUGUGAAAUCCCCGGGCUCAACCUGGGAACUGCAUCUGAUACUGGCAAGCUUGAGUCUCGUAGAGGGGGGUAGAAUUCCAGGUGUAGCGGUGAAAUGCGUAGAGAUCUGGAGGAAUACCGGUGGCGAAGGCGGCCCCCUGGACAAAGACUGACGCUCAGGUGCGAAAGCGUGGGGAGCAAACAGGAUUAGAUACCCUGGUAGUCCACGCCGUAAACGAUGUCGACUUGGAGGUUGUGCCCUUGAGGCGUGGCUUCCGGAGCUAACGCGUUAAGUCGACCGCCUGGGGAGUACGGCCGCAAGGUUAAAACUCAAAUGAAUUGACGGGGGCCCGCACAAGCGGUGGAGCAUGUGGUUUAAUUCGAUGCAACGCGAAGAACCUUACCUGGUCUUGACAUCCACGGAAGUUUUCAGAGAUGAGAAUGUGCCUUCGGGAACCGUGAGACAGGUGCUGCAUGGCUGUCGUCAGCUCGUGUUGUGAAAUGUUGGGUUAAGUCCCGCAACGAGCGCAACCCUUAUCCUUUGUUGCCAGCGGUCCGGCCGGGAACUCAAAGGAGACUGCCAGUGAUAAACUGGAGGAAGGUGGGGAUGACGUCAAGUCAUCAUGGCCCUUACGACCAGGGCUACACACGUGCUACAAUGGCGCAUACAAAGAGAAGCGACCUCGCGAGAGCAAGCGGACCUCAUAAAGUGCGUCGUAGUCCGGAUUGGAGUCUGCAACUCGACUCCAUGAAGUCGGAAUCGCUAGUAAUCGUGGAUCAGAAUGCCACGGUGAAUACGUUCCCGGGCCUUGUACACACCGCCCGUCACACCAUGGGAGUGGGUUGCAAAAGAAGUAGGUAGCUUAACCUUCGGGAGGGCGCUUACCACUUUGUGAUUCAUGACUGGGGUGAAGUCGUAACAAGGUAACCGUAGGGGAACCUGCGGUUGGAUCACCU